CAAAAAAAUUUUGGGGAAAUAACGGGAGGCCAGUCUGCGUUCAAGCGUCGCGGUAUACAAGCUCCUCGAAGUGUCAGGGCGUUAUGGCUAAGCAUCCGUAGCCGGCUCAGUUGGUCUCUGUAAAUCCCAGCGGCUCAACCCGUUGGUCUGCAGGAGAUACCCGCUGGGCUAGGAGGCGGGAGAGGGCGGACGGUACUCCGAGGGUAGGGGUAAAAUCCUUUGAUCCCCGGAAGACCACCAGUGGCGAAGGCGGUCCGCCAGAACGCGCUCGACGGUGAGGGAUGAAAGCUGGGGGAGCGAACCGGAUUAGAUACCCGGGUAGUCCCAGCCGUAAACGAUGCGAGCUAGGUGACACAACGCCUUCGGGGCGUUGUGGUGCCGCAGGGAAGCCGUUAAGCUCGCCGCCUGGGGAGUACGGACGCAAGUCUGAAACUUAAAGGAAUUGGCGGGGGAGCACCACAAGGGGUGAAGCCUGCGGUUCAAUUGGAGUCAACGCCGGGAAUCUUACCGGGAGCGACAGCAGAUUGAAGGUCAAGCUGAAGACUUUACCAGACGAGCUGAGAGGAGGUGCAUGGCCGUCGCCAGCUCGUGCCGUGAGGCGUCCUGUUAAGUCAGGCAACGAGCGGGACCCCUACUUCUAAUUGCUUUAACAGACAUCGCAAGGUGUUUGUGGCUAGUUAGAAGGACUGCCGCCGCUAAGGCGGAGGAAGGAAGGGGCCACGGCAGGUCAGUAUGCCCCGAAACUCCCGGGCCACACGCGGGCUGCAAUGGUAAGGACAAUGGGUUCCGAUCUCGAAAGAGCUAGGCAAUCCCCAAACCUUACCCCAGUUGUGACUGAGGGCUGUAACCCGCCCUCACGAAUCUGGAAUCCCUAGUAACCGCGUGUCACCAUCGCGCGGUGAAUACGUCCCUGCUCCUUGCACUCACCCCCGUC
Molecule: ribosomal RNA, 934 nt
Filed under: uncultured Thermoprotei archaeon
Lineage: Archaea; Thermoproteati; Thermoproteota; Thermoprotei
Description: bacterial SSU rRNA
Rfam family: Archaeal small subunit ribosomal RNA
Source: RNAcentral